GGCGGACGGGUGAGUAAUGUCUGGGAAACUGCCUGAUGGAGGGGGAUAACUACUGGAAACGGUAGCUAAUACCGCAUAACGUCGCAAGACCAAAGAGGGGGACCUUCGGGCCUCUUGCCAUCGGAUGUGCCCAGAUGGGAUUAGCUAGUAGGUGGGGUAACGGCUCACCUAGGCGACGAUCCCUAGCUGGUCUGAGAGGAUGACCAGCCACACUGAACUAGACUGCU
RNAcentral lists this ribosomal RNA (227 nucleotides) under Enterobacter sp. Its description in RNAcentral is "partial 16S ribosomal RNA". It matches the Rfam family "Bacterial small subunit ribosomal RNA", at positions 97 to 340 of the family's 1533-position model. The record is from RNAcentral. Lineage: Bacteria; Pseudomonadati; Pseudomonadota; Gammaproteobacteria; Enterobacterales; Enterobacteriaceae.